RNAcentral lists this small RNA (365 nucleotides) under Rattus norvegicus (Norway rat). RNAcentral describes it as "uncharacterized LOC108352154". The record is from RNAcentral. Lineage: Eukaryota; Metazoa; Chordata; Mammalia; Rodentia; Muridae.
GUCUUUCAGAGAACUCAUUCAGAAACUUUGACAACUUGCAAGAAGCUUUCUGUGCAUGACUGAAGACCCUCACAGCAAACCAAGGACUGGCACAUGUCCCAAAGUCUGGGGAUGAGGAAAUUCUGAUGGGCUGUCAAAGCUUCUUUCUGUUGUGAUUUCCAGAUGGUGGUAGAAGUAAAGAAGCUGAGAAGAGCCAAGAGUGAGCAUUGAAAAGGGAUAUUCAGAGAGCUGCAGACUGGAUGAAACUGGGAAAGACACUGUUCUCACGAAAAGCAAAGCCUUGCUUUGCAUUUAUAAGGAUUUUGGAGAAGAAUUAAAACUUAAAUAGUUAACUGAUGGCAUACUAAUGAUGGAUUGUGGGUAAG